Molecule: RNA transcript, 3811 nt
Organism: Dreissena polymorpha
Lineage: Eukaryota; Metazoa; Mollusca; Bivalvia; Myida; Dreissenidae
Gene name: cardioacceleratory peptide receptor-like
Exons: 8
Source: RefSeq, a predicted model, not a curated record
GCUGGCUGCCUUAGAAACACGCUAAGCGCGCUGAUCUUCGAUACUCGAAGUCAUUGGGAACUUCGUUGGCAAGACGUUAUUGUGCUGUGAAUGUCUUCAAGCUUUUAACAGUUUGAAUAACGUGAAUAAUACACUGCAACAAAGAAAAACGCUUGUUUCGAAAUAUUCAAAGCUUUUACUAAAGCGAAGGAAAACUAACAAUUUCUCAAUAUGUGAAGCUAUUUGAUGUGGGUCGUGUAAAUUAUGUGACACUCGGAACAAGGAUAGUUUUUGCAUAGUUUUGACAAAGGAAGCUUCAAGCAGGGAAAUAACGUGUAUUUAUCCAUUUGUAAAACAGCGCUUGAAAGAACAACAACGAUAAUAAUGGAGUAUAACCGCUCGAAUGUGAAUCAAAGCGCGAUCGUAAUAAUGGAGUCUAACCGCUCGAAUGUGAAUCAAAGCACGAUCGUUCAGCCUGAUUAUUCUGGAACGUACGUUGCCAUCUCUGUGGUUUGUCUGCUGAUGGCGGCAGUUAUAAUCUCCCUCAACGGUCUGGUCAUCUUCAUCAUAGCUCGACAGAAAGACAACAACAGGCUUCACUUCUUCAUAUUACAUAUUGCAAUUGCUGACCUUUGUGUUGGCAUAGUAUGCGUAUUUUGCGAGGGGAUAUUCUACGGUAUCCUGCGAAAUGAGUGGUACUUGGGUGACGUCAUGUGUCGCAUUUGGCAGUAUUCUACGUUUGUGGUCCUAAUUGUGUCUAACAACCUUCUCAUCGGAAUGAGCGUGGACCGAUACGUGGCUGUACGGUAUCCAUUGAGGGCAAUAACCGGAGGGUACCGGCCAUACAAAGCCAUAAUUAUCGGCUCAUGGAUAAUUGCCCUUCUGAUUCCUGUAUGGACUUUCCCGUACAUUGGCAUAGCCAUUGAUGGUGAUUCAUACCACUGUUCCGUUGAUUUCAAAACCUACAUUGGGUGGCAGCUAUAUGUCUGGAUCACACUGCUGCUUGUGUUUUUCAUCCCAUUCCUAGCUGUCUCCCUUUGUUAUGUCGGCAUCUCGGUUGUCGUAUGGAAUCAUUGGCGGAAAAGAGGAAAUCUCACGGAAAUUACUGAAAUGAACACUACGCUAAAAGAAUCAACUUUCCCGUCACGUCAAAAAUCCAUGAACGAGGGUUUACUACCAAAAGCCAGAAUAAUAACAAUAAAGAUGACUUUGAUAAUAUGCCUUACGUUCUUCAUUUGCUGGCUGCCGGCAACAGUGUUCAGCACUAUGGACUUAUACGGCAUAAAUGAGCUUGACCGUCGCUACUAUAUGGUCCUGCAGCGCUUAUAUCCACUCAACAGUGCGUGCAAUCCAAUAAUAGUCUUGUUGUUCAGCAAGCAAUUGUUGCCAUGCGGGUCGCCAAAGUCUUCGAAAGCGACAAUAUGUUAUGAAAGUAUCGAAACAACGAAAACCACAUUAUGAAUAAUGAUAUCGUUAAUAACUGGUUCGGCACUUUGCGUAAAAGCACAGACUUGAACAACAAGACGGCGUUACUGAGAUAAGUGACAUUAAAAUACCUGCAACGAAAAAAACGUAAUUACUCAAAAGUAUAUUUUGAUAAUUAACCAGUAAAAAGGAGCACAAAGGAGCAGCAAAACUAUGUUCAGUCGACGCUAAAUUGUUUUAUCGAACGUCUCUACUAAACAAACUUAAACAGGUCAAAACUUUCAACAAGAAGACAGAAAUACAGACGUGUUCCCUUUCACAAAAUGCGUUAUAAAAUUAAUCUCAAAAGCAGACAAGUCUCAUUCACUAAAACCACAAAACCUCAACGACCUGCGAAAUGACGAAUUGUUACCUGUAAUUCAGACAUUAGUGAAUCAUCAUUUAUCUCAAAAGCUGUACAAGUGCCAGAAUUGCAUCAGCAUCUUAAUUGUCAUUUUUUUAAGUAUCAAUCAUCAGAAAUUUCACACAAUCUACUAAAUUAUUAUUGUUUAAUAAUGGAACAAGAUUUGGUCAUAUUUUCAAGCAAGUAGCCUUUAGUACAGAUCCCUCAUUUUUAGGCAGUUGUUUGACUCAUGUUGAGAAGUUCAAACAUUUUGUUCAACAUUGGCAUCACUAAGAAUUUCUUAGGAAUCACCUGCAAGGAAAUAUACCGUGUUUUCAACUUACUACUUUCUUUUUAUAUGUGAAUACCUGAACUAUAAUUCUUAAUAUCCAGCCAUUUAUCGUCUUGUCAAUACGUUUCACAUAAUACAUUCACUGCCAAAAAAACUUACCAUAUUUGACGCUUUCGAGUGUCCUUCCGCUACUGUUCUUCGUCUUUCCUUUUAGUAUUACUAUCAUCCUGCUCUGUCUUUUAUAUAUGUUUAAGAACCUCAUGGACACUCUAAUGCGCUACUUCUUUAUCAUUCAAAACCCUUUAGAAAUUGAUUGACCUGGUUGCACGUGCUUAAUUCUUAAACGCACAACGAUUAUCGAUAGAGAAAAAUGCAUACAUAAGUUGAAGUAACUUGUUUUCUUAUCCAAUUUUUCAUCGACAUAAUUCACAUGUUAUGUUCAAAGUAUCUUAAUAAAUCUUUAAUAAACCCAAAUCAUAUCAUAUGAAAGCAAUCGACUCGAAUUUUACAUUUAAAUAAGAAUGUUAUAUCAAUAUACAGAAGUGAAACUCCAGCUGCUGGAGCAGUAUUGAAUUCUUAUUAUAAACAUUAUUUUCUUUUGUUUAAUAAGCUCUUAAAUAAGUGAAGAAAACGUUGAUAUCUGUUUAUGUAUUUUCAAUAUGUUCCGCAACUGAUUUAAUGGCAACGCAUACUAUAUUUGUUUUAGUUGAAAUAAUACGUCUGCAAACAUAUUGCUAGUUUGCAAAAUGAAUUUUGUUUAUUUUUAACAAAUUGACAUCUCAUAGUUAUUGUCUUUUAAUCUAAAUGUACUCGUAUCCCUUAAUUAAACUAUACGUUUCAAUGCGAUCGUUUGGAUUCAGACACAAACUAUUUUUAUGAACAAACAAUGUCAACGAAUAUCACGACUAAUACUUUCAGAGUUACAACAAGGGGCCGUAAUGGAUCAUAUGAGUCGACUUUAAGGUAAUUAAGCAUUAUAUAAACUAAGAUUGAAUGGCAAACUUGUAUUGAUAAAUGAUAUUCGUUUGUCUUAAAUUUAACUCUACAUGUAAUGCAAACAUUUUUCAGCAUUGAACUCUUUCAGACUGGUUAUGACUGGCUGUGAUCACUGUUUAUUUUGGAACCAUUUUGUACUUGUAUCUUCUCCUAGGUUUAAAAAUCUGUUUUUGCUACAGUUAAGCUUUGCAGUGUUUUGUGCGCACACAACAUGCAUAUUCAUAUCAAGAAACUUAUUAUCUAGGACUUAAAUUGAUUCAGGUCUUUCUUAUUCUGAAAACCGACACAGACGAAAAAAUAAAUUAAAUGCAUCAACUGCUAUAGAUAAGAUAUGAUCGCAUAAAGCAAUUAACUAGUUAAUGAUUGGCUUUAAUAACUACAUAUGUAAAUUUAGCAAACGACUUCAAACGUACUCGAAAAUAAAUUCCUUACAAUCUAAGUAUUUAUACAAAACUGUUGUACUUGUUAUUGAAUGAUAAAUGCCGAAUAGUAGUAUAUUAUUAUUACAUUUCUUAGCGAACUGUUAGAUUUUCUAAGUGUAUGCUAUGGUUCGUCUGGUAGUUUGAUUUGAUAAAUUAAUUUAGUUAUGUCAUUAUUAGCUUAGUUGGCAUUUUCAGCUCUAGAUAACGCAAACUUCCUCUGAAUAUUCGUAAAUGAUCAUAUUGUGUAUGUGUAUCUAUGUAUCCUAUGUUAAAGUAUAUAUAAGUAGCACAAGUAAAACAAAUUAAAUAUUUCGA